GACAAACGCUGGCGGCGUGCGUAAAACAUGCAAGUCGCACGGAGGCUUCGGCUUCAGUGGCAGACGGCUGAGUAACGCGUAGGGAUCUGCCUCUCGGUGGGGAAUAACGGCCCGAAAGGGUCGCUAAUACCGCAUACGACCACUCGCAAGGGUGAGGAAAGCCGUAAGGCGCCGAGAGAGGAACCUGCGUCCGAUUAGCUAGUUGGUGGGGUAACGCCUACCAAGGCGUCGAUCGGUAGCUGGUCUGAGAGGAUGACCAGCCAGACUGGGACUGGGACACGGCCCAGACUCCUACGGGAGGCAGCAGUCGAGAAUUUUUCACAA
Molecule: ribosomal RNA, 324 nt
Filed under: uncultured bacterium
Lineage: Bacteria
Description: bacterial SSU rRNA
Rfam family: Bacterial small subunit ribosomal RNA
Source: RNAcentral